This 468-nucleotide ribosomal RNA is filed under the name uncultured bacterium. Its description in RNAcentral is "partial 16S ribosomal RNA". It matches the Rfam family "Bacterial small subunit ribosomal RNA", at positions 28 to 507 of the family's 1533-position model. The record is from RNAcentral.
GACGAACGCUGGCGGCGUGCUUAACACAUGCAAGUCGAACGGACAGGCCCUGCGUUUGUGGGGUUCUCGAGUGGCGAACGGGUGAGUAACACGUGAGUAACAUGCACUUGACUUUGGGAUAACUUCAGGAAACUGGGGCUAAUACCGGAUAGGAUCUCCUGCAGCACGGUGGGGGUUGGAGAGUUACGGCGGUUGGGGAUGGACUGGCGGGUUAUCAGCUUGUUGGUGGGGUAGUGACUUACCAAGGCUUUGAAGGGUAGCCGGCCUGGGAGGGUGGACGGCCACAAGGGUCCUGCGGUACGCACCAGACGCCUACGGUACGCAGCAGGGGGAAACAUGGCACAGUGGCGCGAAGCCUGAGGCAGCAAUGCCGCGUGCGGGAUGACGGCCUUCGGGUUGUAAACCGCUGUCGCCUGUGACGAAGAGUGAGUGACGGUAACGGGUAAAAAAGCAACGGCUAACUACGUG